RNAcentral lists this small RNA (293 nucleotides) under Rhodococcus sp. EPR-157. Its description in RNAcentral is "5' ureB small RNA". It matches the Rfam family "5' ureB small RNA". Lineage: Bacteria; Bacillati; Actinomycetota; Actinomycetes; Mycobacteriales; Nocardiaceae. The record is from Rfam by way of RNAcentral.
CUUCCAUGAUCUGUGGACAGAUGAGGUGGACGUGGCAGUCGAUGCCGCCUGCAGUGAGAAUCUUCCCGUUGCCCGCGAUGAGCUCGGUGGACGGUCCGAUCACCAGAUCGGGGUGGACUCCGGUCAUGGUGUCGGGGUUGCCGGCCUUGCCGAGUGCAACGAUCCGACCGUCGCGAAUGCCGAUGUCUGCCUUGAUGAUGCCCCAGUAGUCGACGACGACGACUCCGGUGAUGACGGUGUCGGGUGCGCCGUCGGCCCGGGUCGCGCGCGACUGUCCCAUCGACUCACGAAUG